Molecule: long non-coding RNA, 100 nt
Organism: Lagopus leucura (white-tailed ptarmigan)
Lineage: Eukaryota; Metazoa; Chordata; Aves; Galliformes; Phasianidae
Exons: 3
Source: RefSeq, a predicted model, not a curated record
AGACUUUUUCCACCUGGAAUCAUCAGUCCUUGGACCAAAGGAUACUUCAUACAAAGAACAAUUCAUCAUCAGCCCCCUGAAACUUGAUGUAAUACUCUAC